This 79-nucleotide small RNA is filed under the name uncultured Kaistella sp. RNAcentral's name for it is "Flavo-1 RNA". It matches the Rfam family "Flavo-1 RNA". The record is from RNAcentral. Lineage: Bacteria; Pseudomonadati; Bacteroidota; Flavobacteriia; Flavobacteriales; Weeksellaceae.
CUAGCCCCGAUUGCAGUGGAAAUCCUUUUUAUUUUUUCCGGCAGGAAAAAUAAAAAGAUUGCAACGGAAAGCGGGAAUA